GGAGGUGUCCGAGACCUGGUGGGCUCCACCGCCUUCAAAGCGGUUGGCCGUGGCGAACCCACGGCGGCGGGUUCGAUUCCCGUCCACCUCCGCCA
This 95-nucleotide transfer RNA is filed under the name Mycobacterium helveticum. Its description in RNAcentral is "Mycobacterium sp. 16-83 tRNA-Sec". It matches the Rfam family "Selenocysteine transfer RNA". The record is from RNAcentral. Lineage: Bacteria; Bacillati; Actinomycetota; Actinomycetes; Mycobacteriales; Mycobacteriaceae.